ACAAUUCACACAUCCUAAACUUGCAUUCCAGCCUUUCCUCACCGGGACAACACUCAUGUGCAGCUUGUUUCUUAUAGCUAACCAUAGAAACACCCUAACUUUCUCCAUGAUUGCGGCUUAAUCUCCAUAUGACUAUGUAGUUAUUGGCGAGAGUCAUUCCUUACCAUUGCGGCCUAAGGAUCAUAGAAGAUCACAUUGAUUAAGAGAUUUUUGAAUAUAGUGUAACAAUUUAAAAAAUUUUCUAAUUGGCAAUAAUUAUGCAGCCCA
This 267-nucleotide long non-coding RNA is filed under the name Elaeis guineensis (African oil palm). Its description in RNAcentral is "long non-coding RNA (EGUI_LNC072788)". Lineage: Eukaryota; Viridiplantae; Streptophyta; Magnoliopsida; Arecales; Arecaceae. The record is from RNAcentral.